RNAcentral lists this ribosomal RNA (253 nucleotides) under uncultured bacterium. RNAcentral describes it as "partial 16S ribosomal RNA". It matches the Rfam family "Bacterial small subunit ribosomal RNA", at positions 524 to 776 of the family's 1533-position model. The record is from RNAcentral.
UACGAAGGGGGCUAGCGUUGCUCGGAAUCACUGGGCGUAAAGGGUGCGUAGGCGGGUCUUUAAGUCAGGGGUGAAAUCCUGGAGCUCAACUCCAGAACUGCCUUUGAUACUGAAGAUCUUGAGUUCGGGAGAGGUGAGUGGAACUGCGAGUGUAGAGGUGAAAUUCGUAGAUAUUCGCAAGAACACCAGUGGCGAAGGCGGCUCACUGGCCCGAUACUGACGCUGAGGCACGAAAGCGUGGGGAGCAAAAAGG